UUCUAAACCAAAUCACACGGCGUCUAUACCGGCGAUUGGAUCUGGAGCUCUCGUCCCCAGUUCAGAUGUUGGAUGAUGAAGACGAUGGGUGAUCGUGAUGGUGACACCCAGAGCUAGAAGGCCACGAGGAGUUCAAUAUGAGAUCAACAAUGGUAUGAUAUCUGCUAUUGCCGGCGUGUUGUCUUUGUAGCAGCUCAUUGAGAAGUUAGGCUUUAAUAAUGUGACUGAUAAGCCAGCUGCACUUAAAAUGAUGAGAGAUUUAUGUGAAUCUGUUCUUGAAUCCUCUGAAAGGAAGCAAAGCUAGCACAUAGUGGCGGUGAUAUCUUGAAGAGUUACAGAGUGGCCUUGCGGAGGCAUCUUGGGCAGGUUAACAAGGGAUUGAAUUGGAAUUAUUUCUGAUUAAGUAUUAGCUCUGGAUUACCACUAUUGUUGGUGUUAAUCCAGCUGUACUAGUGCCAUAACUACACUAUCUGGGUUUGCACUUCAGUUGAAUUCUGGAUUUAUUCUUUUGGUCUGGUUCUCUCCUUAUGAUUGUCUUCUACUGUAUGACCUGGUAUAUCAUACUUCAAAACAUGUUGGGCAUGUUUCUUUGCGAUACUCAGUGAGGAACAUGUGCAGGUGUAGGGCUUGAUAAAGCUUGGAGGUUAGAGGUGAAUCACUCAGAGGUAUUAUAGAUCAUGAUUGCAUGAUGAUACUGAACUAAUACAUAUACUUCACUUUUAGAAAAUUUAUCCUUUUUAUUUGGAGAUGAAUACAGGAAUGCAUGCAUGGUUUGCUGCUUUUGUGGAUACUCGGUACAGUCUUGUUCUUCCAAUAAUUGGUGUUCGGGUACACACAGCAGUAAUUUAUCGAUACAGGUGAACAUAGUUUUGUGAUUUGUCCCAUGUAAGUAAAGCAAUGCUCUUUGUGGUGGUCAUAGGGAUUUCAAUGGGCAAUAGAUAAUGACAUGUGGCCAGCUAGACUUGAUAGCAUUAAGCCUUUAUUUGAAGAAGCAAGAAUUGAUUCAGGGAAGAGUGAAAUAGAUGCAGAGGUUUGGGACAAGAUAGCACCUGGUAUGGCUUCACAGUUUGAUGCUCCCUACUCAGUUCCUCUGAUUGCACCACGUCCACUCCUCCUCCUAAAUGGAACCCGCCUCCAAAGCUGCUGAGGCUUAUGCAGAAGCUGGUUAUGCGAAUAAGUUCAAGGAUUCAAAUAACUAGCUCGAAUGGACUAUAGAUCACGGACAAUUUAGUCUUGGCACUUAAUUAGGAUGUCUAAAUUACAUUUGAGUUUCACUUGAUGGAUAUUUGCUAUCGUAAUUAUGAAUUCUGUGAAUCUACAUAUUAUAUGUAUGGUUUUGAAUAUUGUAAUUGAAUGCCUGUAUUUUUUUAGGUUGAAAUAGGCUAUUGCCACAACCCACUUUUGGUCGCCACAUGUUAGCAC
Triticum aestivum (bread wheat) is the source of this 1422-nucleotide RNA transcript. RefSeq lists it as uncharacterized. Lineage: Eukaryota; Viridiplantae; Streptophyta; Magnoliopsida; Poales; Poaceae. The record is from RefSeq and is a predicted model, not a curated record. The transcript has 7 exons.